This 529-nucleotide ribosomal RNA is filed under the name Weissella confusa. RNAcentral's name for it is "partial 23S ribosomal RNA". It matches the Rfam family "Archaeal large subunit ribosomal RNA", at positions 1 to 550 of the family's 2987-position model. Lineage: Bacteria; Bacillati; Bacillota; Bacilli; Lactobacillales; Lactobacillaceae. The record is from RNAcentral.
UGUUCUGGUUCUUACGCCAGUUAGUGGAUGGUUCGGUUUGAGAGCCGACGAAGGGCGUGCCAAGCUGCGAAAAUCUGCGGGAAGACGCAAGGACUCUAUGAUCCGCAGGUCCCCUAAUAGGACAUCCUGACUUUAGUCAAUCCGUAAGGAUAGGGAACCCCCCGAAGUGAAACAUCUCAGUAGGGGGAGGAAGAGAAAUCAAGAGAGAUUACGUUAGUAGAGGCGAUCGAACCCGUAACAGUCAAAACUGAAUCCCGAAAGGGACAUGUAGUGUAUGGCCUUCUUUCUGGAGUUAAUUGACGAUUGGAAGUAGCCUGGAAUGGCUUGCCUUAGAGAGUGACAGCCUCGUACAUCACCUCAAUUAACCCUUUGAAGUGUCCUGAGUAGCGUGGGUCGGAAUUCCCGCGUGAAUAUGGGUGUCACCUAACAUCCAAGACUAAAUACUCCUCAAAACCGAUAGCGAAUUAGUAGCGUGAGCGAAUACUGAAAAGCAUCCCUAAAAAGGAAGUUAAAAGUGCCUGAAACUAAC